GCGACAGUAGCUCAGUCGGUUAGAGCACCGGAUUGUGGAUCCGGGGGUCGAGGGUUCGAGCCCCUUCUGUCGCCCA
RNAcentral lists this transfer RNA (76 nucleotides) under Estrella lausannensis. Its description in RNAcentral is "tRNA-His". It matches the Rfam family "tRNA". Rfam says of the family: Transfer RNA (tRNA) molecules are approximately 80 nucleotides in length. Their secondary structure includes four short double-helical elements and three loops (D, anti-codon, and T loops). Lineage: Bacteria; Pseudomonadati; Chlamydiota; Chlamydiia; Parachlamydiales; Candidatus Criblamydiaceae. The record is from RNAcentral.